UACCAGCACCCCGAGUGGUCGGGACGUUUAUUGGGCCUAAAGCAUCCGUAGCCGGUUCUACAAGUCUUCCGUUAAAUCCAGCUGCUUAACAGAUGGGCUGCGGAAGAUACUAUGGAGCUAGGAGGCGGGAGAGGCAAGCGGUACUCGAUGGGUAGGGGUAAAAUCCGUUGAUCCAUUGAAGACCACCAGUGGCGAAGGCGGCUUGCCAGAACGCGCUCGACGGUGAGGGAUGAAAGCUGGAGGAGCAAACCGG
Molecule: ribosomal RNA, 253 nt
Filed under: uncultured bacterium
Lineage: Bacteria
Description: partial 16S ribosomal RNA
Rfam family: Archaeal small subunit ribosomal RNA
Source: RNAcentral